Molecule: ribosomal RNA, 1957 nt
Filed under: human oral metagenome
Description: bacterial LSU rRNA
Rfam family: Bacterial large subunit ribosomal RNA
Source: RNAcentral
AUCCUUGAAAGAGUGCGUAAUAGCUCACUGGUCAAGUGAUUCCGCGCCGACAAUUCAGCGGGGCUCAAGCCGUCCGCCGAAGCUGUGGCGUCCGCGCGUGUGCCAGGCGCCGGGUCCUGCCCGGUGUCCAGGCGCGUGGAUGGGUAGGGGAGCGUUGUGCGUGCCGUGAAGCGUCGGGGUGACCCGGUGUGGAGUGCGCGCAAGUGAGAAUGCAGGCAUGAGUAGCGUUUUGACGGGUGGGAAACCCGUCCGCCGAAUAUCCAAGGGUUCCGGGGUCAAGUUGAUCUGCCCCGGGUGAGUCGGGUCCUAAGGCGAGGCCGACAGGCGUAGUCGAUGGUUGACGGGUUGAUAUUCCCGUACCGGCCCAGCAACGUUCCUGUCGAAUCGGAUGAUGCUAAGCACGCGAGAUGUCUCCGGCGCUUUCGGGUGCUGGUGGUGUCGAGUCUGUGAACCGAGUCUGUAGUAGACAAGCUGCGGAGGGACGCAGGAAGGUGGCUCGACAGCCGUCAUGGUAAGGCUGUCAAGUCUGUAGGGUGACUGGUAGGCAAAUCCGCUGGUCGUGUGCCUGAGAGAUGAUGAGAGGGGCCCUGUGAGAGGGUCCGUGUUCGAGUGAUCCUAUGCUGCCUAGAAAAGCUUCGUGAGCGAGUUGUUGUGCCGCCCGUACCCCAAACCGACACUGGUGGAUAGGUAGAGAAUACCGAGGCGAUCGAGAUAAUCGUGGUGAAGGAACUCGGCAAAAUCCUCCCGUAACUUCGGAAUAAGGGAGACUUGAGGCGUGAGGGGCCCGCGCGGCCCUCAGCGCCGGGAGUCGCAGUGAAUUGACCCAAGCGACUGCUUACUAAAAGCACAGGUCCGUGCGAAGUCGUAAGACGAUGUAUACGGACUGACUCCUGCCCGGUGCUGGAAGGUCAAGGGGAACCGUCAGCCUCACGGCGAAGCGGUGAACUUAAGCCCCAGUAAACGGCGGUGGUAACUAUAACCAUCCUAAGGUAGCGAAAUUCCUUGUCGGGUAAGUUCCGACCUGCACGAAUGGAGUAACGACUUGGGUACUGUCUCCACCACGAACUCGGUGAAAUUGCAUUACGAGUAAAGAUGCUCGUUACGCGCAGCAGGACGGAAAGACCCCGGGACCUUUACUACAGUUUGGUAUUGGUGAUCGGUGCGACUUGUGUAGGAUAGGUGGGAGACUGUGAAGCGGCCACGCCAGUGGCCGUGGAGUCGUCGUUGAAAUACCACUCUGGUCGUUCUGGUUAUCUAACCUCGGACCGUGACCCGGUUCAGGGACAGUGCCUGAUGGGUAGUUUGACUGGGGCGGUCGCCUCCCAAAGAGUAACGGAGGCGCCCAAAGGUCCCCUCAGCCUGGUCGGCAACCAGGUGUCGAGUGCAAGUGCACAAGGGGGCUUGACUGUGAGACGGACACGUCGAGCAGGGACGAAAGUCGGGACUAGUGAUCUUCUGGUGGCGUGUGGAAGCGCCAGAACUCAACGGAUAAAAGGUACCCCGGGGAUAACAGGCUGAUCUUGCCCGAGCGCUCACAGCGACGGCAUGGUUUGGCACCUCGAUGUCGGCUCGUCGCAUCCUGGGGCUGGAGUCGGUCCCAAGGGUUGGGCUGUUCGCCCAUUAAAGCGGCACGCGAGCUGGGUUAAGAACGUCGUGAGACAGUUCGGUCCCUAUCCGCUGCGCGCGUAGGAAUCUUGAGAAGGGCUGUCCUCAGUACGAGAGGACCGGGACGGACCAACCUCUGGUGUGCCAGUUGUUCCUCCAGGAGCAUGGCUGGUUGGCUACGUUGGGAAGUGAUAACCGCUGAAAGCAUCUAAGUGGGAAGCACGCUUCAAGAUGAGGAUUCCCCAGCCUCGUGCUGGUAAGGCCCCCGGCAGACCACCGGGUUGAUGGGUCGGACGUGGAAGCGCCGCGAGGCGUGGAGCUGACCGAUCCCAAACGGCCGAGAGGCUUGCCA